CGGCGCGCCUAACACAUGCAAGUCGAACGAGCGAGAGAGAGCUUGCUUUCUCGAGCGAGUGGCGAACGGGUGAGUAACGCGUGAGGAACCUGCCUCAAAGAGGGGGACAACAGUUGGAAACGACUGCUAAUACCGCAUAAGCCCACGGGUCGGCAUCGACCAGAGGGAAAAGGAGCAAUCCGCUUUGAGAUGGCCUCGCGUCCGAUUAGCUAGUUGGUGAGGUAAUGGCCCACCAAGGCGACGAUCGGUAGCCGGACUGAGAGGUUGAACGGCCACAUUGGGACUGAGACACGGCCCAGACUCCUACGGGAGGCAGCAGUGGGGAAUAUUGCACAAUGGGGGAAACCCUGAUGCAGCGACGCCGCGUGGAGGAAGAAGGUCUUCGGAUUGUAAACUCCUGUUGUUGGGGAAGAUAAUGACGGUACCCAACAAGGAAGUGACGGCUAACUACGUGCCAGCAGCCGCGGUAAAACGUAGGUCACAAGCGUUGUCCGGAAUUACUGGGUGUAAAGGGAGCGCAGGCGGGAAGACAAGUUGGAAGUGAAAUCUAUGGGCUCAACCCAUAAACUGCUUUCAAAACUGUUUUUCUUGAGUAGUGCAGAGGUAGGCGGAAUUCCCGGUGUAGCGGUGGAAUGCGUAGAUAUCGGGAGGAACACCAGUGGCGAAGGCGGCCUACUGGGCACCAACUGACGCUGAGGCUCGAAAGUGUGGGUAGCAAACAGGAUUAGAUACCCUGGUAGUCCACACCGUAAACGAUGAUUACUAGGUGUUGGAGGAUUGACCCCUUCAGUGCCGCAGUUAACACAAUAAGUAAUCCACCUGGGGAGUACGACCGCAAGGUUGAAACUCAAAGGAAUUGACGGGGGCCCGCACAAGCAGUGGAGUAUGUGGUUUAAUUCGACGCAACGCGAAGAACCUUACCAAGUCUUGACAUCCCUUGACAGGCAUAGAAAUAUGUUUUCUCUUCGGAGCAAGGAGACAGGUGGUGCAUGGUUGUCGUCAGCUCGUGUCGUGAGAUGUUGGGUUAAGUCCCGCAACGAGCGCAACCCUUAUGGUCAGUUACUACGCAAGAGGACUCUGGCCAGACUGCCGUUGACAAAACGGAGGAAGGUGGGGAUGACGUCAAAUCAUCAUGCCCUUUAUGACUUGGGCUACACACGUACUACAAUGGCGUUAAACAAAGAGAAGCAAGACCGCGAGGUGGAGCAAAACUCAGAAACAACGUCCCAGUUCGGACUGCAGGCUGCAACUCGCCUGCACGAAGUCGGAAUUGCUAGUAAUCGUGGAUCAGCAUGCCACGGUGAAUACGUUCCCGGGCCUUGUACACACCGCCCGUCA
This 1338-nucleotide ribosomal RNA is filed under the name uncultured bacterium. RNAcentral's name for it is "16S ribosomal RNA". It matches the Rfam family "Bacterial small subunit ribosomal RNA", at positions 40 to 1399 of the family's 1533-position model. The record is from RNAcentral.